GGGGACGAGCUGGCGCGCGG
This 20-nucleotide microRNA is filed under the name Macrophomina phaseolina MS6. Its description in RNAcentral is "miR-UL70-3p". Lineage: Eukaryota; Fungi; Ascomycota; Dothideomycetes; Botryosphaeriales; Botryosphaeriaceae. The record is from RNAcentral.